This 1238-nucleotide ribosomal RNA is filed under the name metagenome. RNAcentral's name for it is "bacterial LSU rRNA". It matches the Rfam family "Bacterial large subunit ribosomal RNA", at positions 1564 to 2810 of the family's 2925-position model. The record is from RNAcentral.
UGAGUACGAGAUGCUACGGCAUCGAAGCAGUCUAUGUCAUACUUCCAAGAAAAGCUUGCAAUGUCAUAAACAAAUAAUGCCUGUACCAUAACCGACACAGGUGGGUAGGUAGAGUAUACUAAGGGGCGCGAGAUAACUCUCUCUAAGGAACUCGGCAAAAUGACUCCGUAACUUCGGGAGAAGGAGUGCCUUAUUUUUAUAAGGUUGCAAUAACAAGAUCCAAGCAACUGUUUACCAAAAACACAGGUCUCCGCUAAGUCGUAAGACGAUGUAUGGGGGCUGACGCCUGCCCAGUGCCAGAAGGUUAAAGAAGUUGGUUAGCAUUAGCGAAGCUGAUAACUGAAGCCCUGGUGAACGGCGGCCGUAACAAUAACGGUCCUAAGGUAGCGAAAUUCCUUGUCGGGUAAGUUCCGACCCGCACGAAAGGCGUAAUGAUUUGGAUACUGUCUCGGAGAGGGGCUCGGUGAAAUAGACUUGUCUGUGAAGAUGCGGACUACCUGCACCUGGACAGAAAGACCCUAUGAAGCUUUACUGUAACUUGAGAUUGAAAUUGGACUUUAUCUGCGCAGUAUAGGUGGGAGACGUUGAAAAUAUUCUUGCGGGAAUAUUGGAGUCAUCAGUGAGAUACCACUCUUAUAAUGUUAGAUUUCUAACUUUGUAUCAUUAUCUGGUCAAAGAACAGUUUCAGGCGGGCAGUUUGACUGGGGCGGUCGCCUCCCAAACGGUAACGGAGGCGCACAAAGGUUUCCUCUGAACGUGUAGAAAUCGUAUCUAGAGUGUAAAGGCAUAAGGAAGCUUGACUGUGAGACCUACAAGUCGAGCAGGGACGAAAGUCGGUCUUAGUGAUCUGACGGUGCUGAGUGGAAAGGCCGUCACUCAACGGAUAAAAGUUACUCUAGGAUAACAGGCUGAUCUCCCCCAAGAGUUCACAUCGACGGGGAGGUUUGGCACCUCGAUGUCGGCUCAUCGCAUCCUGGGGCGGUAGUACGUCCCAAGGGUUGGGCUGUUCGCCCAUGAAAGCGGUACGCGAGCUGGGUUCAGAACGUCGUGAGACAGUUCGGUCCAUAUCCGGUGUAGGCGUUAGAAUAUUGAGAGGAGCCUUCUUUAGUACGAGAGGACCGAGAAGGACAUACCUCUGGUGUACCAGUUAUCGUGCCAACGGUAAACGCUGGGUAGCCAUGUAUGGAGAGGAUAACCGCUGAUAGCAUCUAAGUGGUAAGCCCACCUCAAGAUAAGUA